CCGGUAACCUAACCUAACCUACUGAAUAAAUUACUUGGUAACUAUCUUUUCAGUGAAUUAAAUUUGAAAACAUGGAUGAUAAUAUUUCUCUACCAUUGAUAUUAAAGUAUUGUUUUAAAGAUAUAAAAAAGGAUGCUGGAAGUGAGAAUAAUAAUAUAUCGGCUGUUUGCAAGAAAUGCUCUAAAACAUUAAAAGGAAGUCUAAUUUCAACUACAAAUUUUUUAAAUCAUAUAAAAAGAAAAGGUCAUGGUGAUCUAUUGACAGAGUAUGAAAAUUUAAAAUCCCAAACCAAAACCUCCAAAAAGAAAAAAUGUGGCACACACACUGAUGAAAAUAGUGCAAGUACUUCGAAAAAACUGAUACAAAGCACUCU
Diorhabda carinulata is the source of this 373-nucleotide long non-coding RNA. RefSeq lists it as uncharacterized. The transcript has 3 exons. The record is from RefSeq and is a predicted model, not a curated record. NCBI's taxonomy places the organism in Eukaryota, Metazoa, Arthropoda, Insecta, Coleoptera, Chrysomelidae.